This 879-nucleotide ribosomal RNA is filed under the name Bacillus altitudinis. RNAcentral describes it as "bacterial SSU rRNA". It matches the Rfam family "Bacterial small subunit ribosomal RNA", at positions 52 to 913 of the family's 1533-position model. The record is from RNAcentral. Lineage: Bacteria; Bacillati; Bacillota; Bacilli; Caryophanales; Bacillaceae.
UACAUGCAAGUCGAGCGGACAGAAGGGAGCUUGCUCCCGGAUGUUAGCGGCGGACGGGUGAGUAACACGUGGGUAACCUGCCUGUAAGACUGGGAUAACUCCGGGAAACCGGAGCUAAUACCGGAUAGUUCCUUGAACCGCAUGGUUCAAGGAUGAAAGACGGUUUCGGCUGUCACUUACAGAUGGACCCGCGGCGCAUUAGCUAGUUGGUGAGGUAACGGCUCACCAAGGCGACGAUGCGUAGCCGACCUGAGAGGGUGAUCGGCCACACUGGGACUGAGACACGGCCCAGACUCCUACGGGAGGCAGCAGUAGGGAAUCUUCCGCAAUGGACGAAAGUCUGACGGAGCAACGCCGCGUGAGUGAUGAAGGUUUUCGGAUCGUAAAGCUCUGUUGUUAGGGAAGAACAAGUGCAAGAGUAACUGCUUGCACCUUGACGGUACCUAACCAGAAAGCCACGGCUAACUACGUGCCAGCAGCCGCGGUAAUACGUAGGUGGCAAGCGUUGUCCGGAAUUAUUGGGCGUAAAGGGCUCGCAGGCGGUUUCUUAAGUCUGAUGUGAAAGCCCCCGGCUCAACCGGGGAGGGUCAUUGGAAACUGGGAAACUUGAGUGCAGAAGAGGAGAGUGGAAUUCCACGUGUAGCGGUGAAAUGCGUAGAGAUGUGGAGGAACACCAGUGGCGAAGGCGACUCUCUGGUCUGUAACUGACGCUGAGGAGCGAAAGCGUGGGGAGCGAACAGGAUUAGAUACCCUGGUAGUCCACGCCGUAAACGAUGAGUGCUAAGUGUUAGGGGGUUUCCGCCCCUUAGUGCUGCAGCUAACGCAUUAAGCACUCCGCCUGGGGAGUACGGUCGCAAGACUGAAACUCAAAGGAAUUGA